AUGGGGAAGACGGUGGAGAAGGAAGCCGGACUGCAGUUCUUACCAAGGGAGGAGUAUGGCGUAACGACGUUGACUGAAAGGGUGAAGCCAUGUCUUUGCCUAGACCACUCCUCUUUUGGAAAACUUGAGUGGCCUUGCCUGGAAGGCAUUUUUCAUGUAUAUUGUUCUGCUGUAAGCUCCCCGCCCCCCGCCUCCCAGCAGCUCAUCACAGGCAAGAAAGACACUACCAGUAACUGUGCUCAUGGGCACUCCACCAUCGGCAAGGAGAUCACUGGCCUUGUCUUGGACCAGAUUCGGGAGUUGGCUGACCAGUGCCAGGUUUUCAGGGCUUCUGGGUUUUCCACAGCUUUGUUUGGGGAUCUGGUUCUGGGUUCACCUCCCUGCUGAUGGAACGUCUCUGUCGAUUAUGGCAAGAAGUCCAAGCUGGAGUUCUCCAUUUACCCAGCCCCCCAGGUUACACAGCUGUAACUGCACCCUACAACUCCAUCCUCAGCACCCACAGCACCCUGGAGUGCUCUGUGCCUUCAUGGUUAACAGUGAGGCCAUCUAUGACAUCUGUCAUGGAAACCUCGAUAUUGAGCGCCCAACCUACACUAACCUGAAUAGAUUGAUAGGUCAAAUUGUAUCCUUUAGCACUGCUUCCCAGAGAUCUGAUGGAGCCCUGAAUGUUGAUCUGACAAUUCCAGACCAACCCAGUGCCCUGUGCCCGCAUCUAUUUCCCUCUGGCCACGUGUGCCCGCCUCAUCUCUGCUGAGAAAGCCUACCAUGAACAGCUUUCUGAAGUGGAGGUCACCAGUGCAUGCUUUGAGCCAGCCAACCAGAUGGUGAAAUGUGACCCUUGCUACAGUAAAUACAUGGCUUGCUGCCUGUCGUACCAUGGGGACAUGGUUCCCAAAGAUGUCAACACUGCCAUUGCCACCAGACAAGCGCAGCAUCCAGUUUGUGGACUGGUGCCCCACUGGCUUCAAAGUUGGCAUUGAUUAGCAGCCUCCCACUGUGGUACCUGGUGGAGACCUGGCCACAGUACAGCGAGCUGUGUGCGUGCUGAGCAACAACACAUCUGUUGCUCAGGCCUGGGCUCGCCUGGACCACAAGUUUGACCUGACGUGUGCCAAGUGUGCCUUCGUUCACUGGCAUAUGGGUGAGAGCAUGGAGGAAGGAGAGUUUUCUGAGGCCUGUGAGGGCAUGGCUGACCUUGGGAAGGAUUAUGAGGAGGUCGGUAUGGAUUUUGUUGGAGGAGAGGGUGAGGAAGGAGAGGAAUACUAAUUACCAUUCAUUUCAGCCUGCAGCAUGUCACACACAGAACUUCAGCUUCAACAGCUGACAGGCUUUUAAGCUUUCUGGUUAAAUUGUCUUCACUUUUACCUGUGAAUCCUGUCUGUCUUUUUCAUGUGUCCCUAUAAGAUUUUCCCUUCAUGUCUAAAAGUAAAGACAUUGAGAAAAGGAAAAAGGUACAGAUUAGAUUUUCUUUCAUGUUUAUCCCAUUUGUUGCUAUUUACCUUUAUUUUCCACUUCCUCCUUUCAUUCUGCGCCCGUAUUUUCACUGUACUUCUUACGGAGAAGCGAGAUUGGCUGUGGGGCUGAGCACACAGUGGGUUAGCAACCUGGUUGACUCUGUGAUCGACCCAGGGAGGACUUCUUUCUUGGCCUCUAGGCCUCCAGGCCUCCAUAGGCAGGGAUCAAGAGGAAACUUUGAUCUGGAUAGUAUCACUGUGUUCCAAGUUUACAUUUCAGAGUAAGGAACCGUGCUUGUUCCUAGAAAGAUUCCCCACCCUCACAUCCUCACCCCACAACCGUUGUCUGCCAUGAGACCAUCAGCACCAGUCUCAUUACGCCCUUGGUUCUUAUUUGCCAUUCUCUUCAGGAAUUCAGGACUUUUCAGGUUUCUCUCCUUUUCCAGAGUCAACCCCGACCCCACUUCCUGGCUUUAUUUUUCUCUUUAGCAGGCAUCUUCUGACUUGCUUUAUAUUUUACUUUGUCUUCUUUUCAGUACAAUGUAAAUAUCUAUUUAUUCAUUGCUGUAGGUGAACUGUAACCAGCAGUAGUUACUCAAAAAUGCUUGUUGAAUGAACACAGUAAAUAAUUAUGGAAAGUGUGUGGCUAUGCCUUUUGAGGGAGAUCAGGAGAAACUCAAAUUAAAGUAAUCCUUUCUCAUUUACUUCUCUAGAUGAUUUCUUUUCAAGGUACCUCAUUCUCUGUAGUAAAUAUCAUGAACGAAUCGGCAUUAUCUUAGCUAAUUAUUUGUUUUUUAAGACCAUAUUUAAAAAAAAAAAAGAAAAAUUCAGGCAUGGUAACGGAUUUAUGGCGGGCCCUUCUCUGUGGGCCUCUCAUAGUGGACCCAUGCCAGAGUAACCUGCAGCCUCGAACCAUUGCCCAGCCCCUUACCUGUGGGUUGCGAGCACUGAAGGGGGUUGUACAGUGUGAAAAAUAAAUAAGAACUGAAAAAAAAUUCUAAAUAUAGGCACAUUAAUUACUACUAACUCUAGCUCCCAUCUCAUACUGUCUGAGAUGUUUUGUCUAAUUGCACCAAAAUUCACAAAAACUUUUGCAAGCACAAGUAAUCUUCAUUUAUUCUGAUCCUCUCGUUUUUAAUAGGGCUUGCAGCAUCUAUUAGAUAUUCACUAAAUAUUCAUGAAUAAUCAGUUGAUUGAAGGGUGACAUUAUGGCUCGCAGCUGUAGUUUGAGGAGUUUUUAAUAGUCUACAACUUCGUUUCAACCUGUACACCAGCCAUGCAUUUCUGAAGUUGGGAUGCUCCAAAGGCAUUAUGGAUUCUGUCACACACCCUAUGUUUCUAGGCACUAGCAGAAACACUAGUUUUAUUCUUUAAAAGAAACAGACCUACUGGUAAAUCCCUAAUGCAUAUUUAGGGGGCAGGGGGAUGCACUGCCAUUGUGUUUACAGCAUCUAAUAUACAUAAUGACGUGCUUCAUGUCCAGCAGUCAUUCUAAAGCGGAUACAAUAUGCUCUUCUUUCAUUACAUUAAGGAUUUUAUCAUAUUUCAUCUUUAUCUUGGUGUAUCUGGGGAAGUGGUAAACAGAAAAUGUGAGCCUAUGAAAUUGGAAUCCAGAAGCAAUAUUUAGUUUAUUUUUAAGUUAUUGUAGGCGAGUCUUUCCAGUUAAUUAAGGUUUUAUCUUAGGACGUGGAUUAUGCCUGCAUGUGCAAACAUACUCAGAAAAGCCAAAAAGCAACCAACAAGCAAACACUUCCAGGAUGUAUUUGUUCAUAAAGGAGCCUCUCAAGAAUCUCAGAUCUCAUUUACUCCUGUUUCAGGCAGUUCUAGCAGGUAUCGGAGUUUCCUGGCCUGUGACAGUUGAUUAGAAGCAACAAAUUAGAAAAAUUUCAAGCAGCACUGUUAGAGACAGGAAGGCUGACAGUUCCAAGAGGGGACAGCUUUUGGUAAAGCUGUUAGUGGUAGGGAAAAAGCAAACCUAAAAGCAGACAGAGUUUUAAGAGUUGUUUUGGAGUCCUUGUCUUUAGCAUACUCCAGGCGUACUCAUGAUCAUCAGCCUAUUAAACCACAGUACUCUAAUCUUAAUAAUAAUCCAGAGGAUUAUUUUUAAAAGUAAAUUAUGCUAAAUGUACUCUAACAAGAUAGGCAUUUCCAACAACAAAAAAAAUGUUAAAUUAUGCUGGAUAAAUACAUGAAGCAUUGUCAUACCCAAACUAUUGCAUAUGAUAUGUUCUUAUCUUUUAACUUGCAAAGGGCCCCUUUGAAGAAGUUUUGCUAUAGUUUAAGUUCAUAGUUCAGCCUGUUAGUGCUGCUGGUUCUGGAAAACGAGAUUGACGAUGACUCAAGUGAACCUGUGUGACUGGGCAGAAGAAAAUUCCUCGCAUCUCUGUGCUGCAGGACUUCUUUGCAAUUAGCUUGCAGAACUGAUUCUCCUCAAACUAGUGAUUGCUCUGUACAUCCUGUGAAUUAUUUACACCCUGAUGGUACCAAAGACUACAUUAAUGGCACCUCUGGCUCCACACGAUAUCAAGAACCUUAAUAAUUCAUCAUUUAGUACAGAUACAUCCCUGUGGAUUAGCAUGAGUGGGAGCUGAGUUUACAACACUGAGAUAAGGCCCUCUCGGAGACCUCGCUCUCUGAACAUCCUAUCCAUAAAUAUUCAGAUAUGAGUGGUGUUAAAAAAUAAAGCAAAGAUUACUGACUGUUACAGAGCUCUAGAUUCUUUAGGUUAUGUUUGUCAAGCAUUAGAUUACUUCAAGUUUGUAAGUACAUUGAAGGGAUAUGUCAAGGGGGAAAUCUUUGGAAGACAGUUCUCCAUUUCAGGACUCCUGCUUUUAAAAAAAAAAAAAAAAGACAAAUCAGCAUUAGCAUAUGCAUACUAAAU
Pteropus alecto (black flying fox) is the source of this 4335-nucleotide RNA transcript. It is a transcript of the gene named tubulin alpha-1A chain-like, with no coding region annotated. Lineage: Eukaryota; Metazoa; Chordata; Mammalia; Chiroptera; Pteropodidae. The transcript has 3 exons. The record is from RefSeq and is a predicted model, not a curated record.